UGCGGGGUGGAGCAGUGGCAGCUCGUCGGGCUCAUAACCCGAAGGUCACAGGUUCGAAUCCUGUCCCCGCUA
Molecule: transfer RNA, 72 nt
Filed under: Pseudomonadota bacterium
Lineage: Bacteria; Pseudomonadati; Pseudomonadota
Also listed under: 3 other names
Description: tRNA-Met
Rfam family: tRNA
About the family: Transfer RNA (tRNA) molecules are approximately 80 nucleotides in length. Their secondary structure includes four short double-helical elements and three loops (D, anti-codon, and T loops). Further hydrogen bonds mediate the characteristic L-shaped molecular structure. tRNAs have two regions of fundamental functional importance: the anti-codon, which is responsible for specific mRNA codon recognition, and the 3' end, to which the tRNAs corresponding amino acid is attached (by aminoacyl-tRNA synthetases). tRNAs cope with the degeneracy of the genetic code in two manners: having more than one tRNA (with a specific anti-codon) for a particular amino acid; and 'wobble' base-pairing, i.e. permitting non-standard base-pairing at the 3rd anti-codon position.
Source: RNAcentral